UUUGCUAUAGAGGAGUUCCCUCAACUGCGUGCAGUUGUUCAACAGGGCUUUGACAAUCCUGAAAAUGUUGAUAUUGCGCUGGAGUACCUUGGGAAGAGUCGUGGAAUACAUAGGACAAGGGAGCUAGCUGCAAAGCAUGCUAGCCUUGCUGCAGCAGCUAUUGAUUCACUACCUGAAACUGAUGAUGAAGAAGUAAGAAAGUCGAGGCGGGCACUAGUAGAUCUCACCCACAGAUUUCACCAGUAUCAGGUGGUGGGGAGAGCUCUACCUUCUGAGUCAGAUGAGCAUCCGAAGAUUUAUCGGAACAAGCUCUGGAGCACCAACGAGGUCCGUGCCAAAUCAAAGUUUUGGUAUUUCCUAAGGAAGCUGAAGAAGGUUAAGAAGAGCAAUGGGCAAGUUUUAGCAAUCAAUGAGGUAAUUUACCACUUGUUUGAUGUCUGAACUGUCAAAUAUAUGCAACUUUCAGUGUGCUGCUUUAAUUUUACAUCUCUUGUUACGAAACAUCAUUUGAUUUACGUAUCUGUAUGUUAAAGAUGGUUUUUUGGUCCUUGAAGAUAUGGGGUGGAUUCUGUGUUACUUGAAGGUCUGGUUGAGGUACUGGAGUAGUUUUGAGGAUAGGAUCAUAUUUGAAUCUCUUCAUUCAAGGUAUGGCUAACUAUCAAGUAAAAAAUAAUUAGUGGGAAUAAAAAAGUAUGGAGAUCUCAUCUCCUCUUUUGUGGGAUAAUAAAGUACUUGAAGAAGUUUUACAAUGGAUUGCUAACAUAACAGACCUCAGUUUUACAUUGACAAGAUAAAGACCCUUGCAAUUUUAGUUAGUUUAUUGUUAUGCAUAUUUCUGAUGUGUCUUUUAUUGUGUGUGCUCUAAUUAUAUUUAUUUUACACUGCCAUGCUUUUCUAAUUUAUUAGACUGAAUUUGGUUUGCACAACAUAAACAUGUGAGAUUGUAUUUAUUCUUUUGACGUAUGUUUAUUAUAUGUUGUGAUGCCAUUCUGAACCUUUUUGUUAUUGUUAAUACCUGUGCAAAUUGUUGAGUUAACAUUAGCCUUUGAAGAGAUUGUGGAAGUUAAAGGAUUGCGGUAGUUAAAGGAUUGACGUAGUUCCCCAUUCCUUGUGCAAAAAGCUAUCAAAUCUACAAAAUAAAACUAGUGGACAAAUUGAAUCCUGUAGAUGAUUUCCUUCCACUUUCCUAUUUCCGCCAAAUUCUCUUCCUCCUUAACCUUUUUUCCCUGCUUUUUUCUCUGGUUAUGGUAAUUUGGAGUAGUGUGUGUGCGUAGCGUACGUGUGGUAUGGUAUUGAAUAUGGACAGGAUGAGUAGACACGGCUUGAGAGACACUC
RNAcentral lists this unclassified non-coding RNA (1335 nucleotides) under Hevea brasiliensis (rubber tree). The record is from RNAcentral. Lineage: Eukaryota; Viridiplantae; Streptophyta; Magnoliopsida; Malpighiales; Euphorbiaceae.